AACUACUAGGGGAGCAUUUUGCUGAGAUGAUGAAAAUCAGACCCUUAUGACCUGAUUUGGUUAGUACCAACGUAGGAAAGUAGU
RNAcentral lists this non-coding RNA (84 nucleotides) under Staphylococcus auricularis. RNAcentral's name for it is "TPP riboswitch (THI element)". It matches the Rfam family "TPP riboswitch aptamer (THI element)", at positions 6 to 94 of the family's 105-position model. From Rfam's summary of the family: Vitamin B(1) in its active form thiamin pyrophosphate (TPP) is an essential coenzyme that is synthesised by coupling of pyrimidine and thiazole moieties in bacteria. Lineage: Bacteria; Bacillati; Bacillota; Bacilli; Caryophanales; Staphylococcaceae. The record is from RNAcentral.